This 780-nucleotide ribosomal RNA is filed under the name uncultured organism. RNAcentral describes it as "SSU rRNA". It matches the Rfam family "Bacterial small subunit ribosomal RNA", at positions 35 to 803 of the family's 1533-position model. The record is from RNAcentral.
GCUAGCUACAGGCUUAACACAUGCAAGUCGAGGGGAAACGAUAGGGAAAGCUUGCUUUUCCUAGGCGUCGACCGGCGCACGGGUGAGUAACGCGUAUCCAACCUGCCCAUGUCUGGGGAAUAACCCGUCGAAAGGCGGACUAACUCCCCAUGGUCUCCGAUGAGGACAUCUGAAUUGGAGUAAAGCUUCGCGGACAUGGAUGGGGAUGCGUCUGAUUAGGUAGUAGGCGGGGUAACGGCCCACCUAGCCUACGAUCAGUAGGGGUUCUGAGAGGAAGGUCCCCCACAUUGGAACUGAGACACGGUCCAAACUCCUACGGGAGGCAGCAGUGAGGAAUAUUGGUCAAUGGACGAGAGUCUGAACCAGCCAAGUAGCGUGCAGGAUGACGGCCCUAUGGGUUGUAAACUGCUUUUGCGCGGGGAUAACACCCUCCACGUGCUGGAGGUCUGCAGGUACCGCGCGAAUAAGGACCGGCUAAUUCCGUGCCAGCAGCCGCGGUAAUACGGAAGGUCCGGGCGUUAUCCGGAUUUAUUGGGUUUAAAGGGAGCGUAGGCCGUGAGGUAAGCGUGUUGUGAAAUGUAGGCGCCCAACGUCUGCACUGCAGCGCGAACUGCCCCACUUGAGUGCGCGCAACGCCGGCGGAACUCGUCGUGUAGCGGUGAAAUGCUUAGAUAUGACGAAGAACCCGAUUGCGAAGGCAGCUGGCGGGAGCGUAACUGACGCUGAAGCUCGAAAGCGCGGGUACCGAACAGGAUUAGAUACCCUGGUAGUCCGCGCGGU